UGCGUAGGGGGCAAGCGUUGUCCGGAAUCAUUGGGCGUAAAGCGCGUGUAGGCGGCUCGGUAAGUCCGCUGUGAAAGUCCAGGGCUCAACCCUGGGAUGCCGGUGGAUACUGUCGAGCUCGAGUCCGGAAGAGGCGAGUGGAAUUCCUGGUGUAGCGGUGAAAUGCGCAGAUAUCAGGAGGAACACCUAUGGCGAAGGCGGCUCUCUGGGACGGUACUGACGCUGAGACGCGAAAGCGUGGGGAGCGAACAGG
Molecule: ribosomal RNA, 253 nt
Filed under: uncultured bacterium
Lineage: Bacteria
Description: partial 16S ribosomal RNA
Rfam family: Bacterial small subunit ribosomal RNA
Source: RNAcentral